This 90-nucleotide transfer RNA is filed under the name Candidatus Gottesmanbacteria bacterium RIFCSPHIGHO2_02_FULL_39_14. Its description in RNAcentral is "tRNA-Ser". It matches the Rfam family "tRNA". Rfam says of the family: Transfer RNA (tRNA) molecules are approximately 80 nucleotides in length. Lineage: Bacteria; Candidatus Gottesmaniibacteriota. RNAcentral also lists the same sequence under 1 other name. The record is from RNAcentral.
GGAGGCGUGCCGGAGUGGUCUAUCGGGCUUGUCUUGAAAACAAGUAUGGCGGCAACGUCAUCAGAGGUUCGAAUCCUCUCGCCUCCGCCA